RNAcentral lists this ribosomal RNA (206 nucleotides) under uncultured bacterium. RNAcentral describes it as "partial 16S ribosomal RNA". It matches the Rfam family "Bacterial small subunit ribosomal RNA", at positions 568 to 773 of the family's 1533-position model. The record is from RNAcentral.
CGCGUAGGCGGUCUUUUAAGUCAGACGUGAAAGCCCGGGGCUCAACCCCGGAAGUGCAUUUGAAACUAAGGGACUUGAGUAUGGGAGAGGGAAGUGGAAUUCCUGGUGUAGCGGUGAAAUGCGUAGAUAUCAGGAGGAACACCGGUGGCGAAGGCGACUUCCUGGACCAAUACUGACGCUGAGGCGCGAAGGCGUGGGGAGCAAAC